Molecule: long non-coding RNA, 1505 nt
Organism: Pipistrellus kuhlii (Kuhl's pipistrelle)
Lineage: Eukaryota; Metazoa; Chordata; Mammalia; Chiroptera; Vespertilionidae
Exons: 3
Source: RefSeq, a predicted model, not a curated record
CCAGUUCCGCGACCCGGUGGCUGCGGCCGCUCUGGGCUCCCAGAUGCUUCCGCCUCCCCAGGGGCCCGCUCGCCACCCCGCCCCGCCAGCCUCGCGUCCCUUUGCCGGCUGCCCUGGCCUCCCGCCGCCCGGGGUCGGUGGCUGCGCCAGCCCGGAAAGCUGUCUUGGUCACGGCUCGCCCGGGACCUGAGCUCCCUCGGUAAGGGGAGCUGGCCUCUCUCGAUGCCAAGUCACGUUCCGGGACAGGUCGCCGAAUACAAGUCGUGCGGAGGGUGGGGAAAGAGACAGUGCCAAAAGACUUCGAGAAACAUAUCCUGUUAUUGCGGCAAGUCGUCUGUUUGCCCGAGACCAAACUUCCGCAUCUUUACAGGUUUUGGGGUCAAUAGGAGCCAAAAGGCGGCAUUUGAAUGACGCGGUGUGGUUGGAAAUGUUGGAUUGACAGCUGGGAACCGGGCAGGUGAACCUCUCCUCCCUGGCAUGACAGCACACUAAGCUCCUCCACGCGCCAGAAAUUCCCCCUUCAGCAGAAUUUUACUGCUCAGCUGCAAUGGACAAGUCUCUGGGAUAAGAAUGAAGUCGAAGAUGAAUCAGAGGUUGCUUAAAAUGUAGUGAGGGAGAUAGGACUCUGGUUACCUGCAGGUCACAGGCUAAGGUUAUUGGCCUGAGGGUUCAGGCUUACAACAGGAGGCUUAAGGAAGACUUCAUUGAGGAAGCUAUGCUUGAGGCGGGACUCAAAGAUGCACACUUUUAGGGAUCAGAGUUGCAUGGAGAGGGCAUUCCCCCAUAUGACCUUAAGACACUCAUCUGCUGUCAGUGGAUGUGCAAAUUGUGCAACUUCUUUGGAAGAAAAUUCAGAAACACAUAAAAAAUUUUAAAUGCACAUGCCUUGUACCCCAAAAAUUCAUGUCUAAGAAUUUAUCCUAAAGAUAUAUUACACAAAGGGAGCAGUACCUCUACCAGGAAACACUAGCAGUCCCCAGAGACUGGCUGCUUUUGCAUAAUUGUCACUGAAGCAUUUCCACCGAAAGUUUCUCCGUCACUCUGAGGUGGCCCCAGAGCACGUGAGCCAAGGCUUGUGGGUGAUCUCAUCCUCUGGCCCUGGUCCAGCAGCUUAAGCUCUGUCAUCGCAGUGAGGUUGGCUGGCAUCUUGCUAACAUGGUUAGAUCAUUACUAAUUCUUUUCCAAACCAUGGAUUUCUCAAUCAAUGAUACAUGGGAAAAGAAUGGUCGUCGGUCCAGGCUCGUGGCAGUACAUCACUGUCAUUUUGCAAUGACAGCCCAGGUAGGGGAGUGACGUUUGCCUUACUUAAUGACGUUUCCCUUAGUCUUGAAGCACGCCCCAUAUGUUCUCCUGUAAUCAAAACCACUGGUCUGUCUGCUUCCCACAGAGAUACAUUUACCAAAAAGUAAUGUCUCUGUACAGACAACAGAAUACCAUUCAACCACUCAAAAGGAAGGAAAUUCUGACACAUGCUACAUGAAUGAACCUUGAGGACAUUAUGCUAA